This 520-nucleotide ribosomal RNA is filed under the name uncultured Entrophospora. RNAcentral describes it as "SSU rRNA". It matches the Rfam family "Eukaryotic small subunit ribosomal RNA", at positions 569 to 1082 of the family's 1831-position model. Lineage: Eukaryota; Fungi; Glomeromycota; Glomeromycetes; Entrophosporales; Entrophosporaceae. The record is from RNAcentral.
AGCAGCCGCGGUAAUUCCAGCUCCAAUAGCGUAUAUUAAAGUUGUUGCAGUUAAAAAGCUCGUAGUUGAAUUUCGGGAUUGACGUGAUGGUCAUGCCUUAAGGGGUAUGAACUGUUACUGUUGAUUUCUCACCUUCUGGAGAAACUUGAUGUCCUUUAUUGGGUGUCUUGCGGAUCCAGGACCUUUACCUUGAAAAAAUUAGAGUGUUUAAAGCAGGCAUUUUUGCUCGAAUACAUUAGCAUGGAAUAAUAGAAUAGGACGGCAUGGUUCUAUUUUGUUGGUUUCUAGGAUCACCGUAAUGAUUAAUAGGGAUAGUUGGGGGCAUUAGUAUUCAAUUGUCAGAGGUGAAAUUCUUGGAUUUAUUGAAGACUAACUACUGCGAAAGCAUUUGCCAAGGAUGUUUUCAUUAAUCAAGAACGAAAGUUAGGGGAUCGAAGACGAUCAGAUACCGUCGUAGUCUUAACCAUAAACUAUGCCGACUAGGAAUCAGACGAUGUUAAUUUUUUAAUGUACUCGUUUG